This 1491-nucleotide ribosomal RNA is filed under the name Triticum aestivum (bread wheat). RNAcentral describes it as "partial small subunit ribosomal RNA". Lineage: Eukaryota; Viridiplantae; Streptophyta; Magnoliopsida; Poales; Poaceae. The record is from RNAcentral.
AUGGAGAGGGUUGACGGAGGAGCGGGGUUGGGUGCGCGUGGGUCUGCGGGGGCGAUGCUGGGCAUGGAGAUGCAUCUCGUCCACCAGCCGCAGCCGCAGAUCCACGCGGCCUCCUCGUUCCAGCAGCCGCCGGAGCACCUCCGCCACGCCAACGGCGGCUUCCAGGUCCAGCACCACCAGGCCAUGCCGAUGAGGCAGCAGCACCCGCCACCGUCGUACGCGGCUUACGUGGCGCCGCCAUCGAGGGCGGUCAACGCGCAUGAAGAGGAGGAGAUGGGCAACGGCGUCGGCGCCGUGCAGCAGCCGGGGGCGGGGACGGCGGGGUGCUCGUGGUCCCGGAUGAAGUGGACGGAUGCGAUGGUGCGUCUGCUCAUCGCGGUGGUGUACAACGCCGGGGAAGACGGGGAGGGCGUGUCUGCAGGAGGCAAGGCGGCGGCGGCCCAUUCGCACGGGAAGGCGGUGGCAUCUGCGGCGGCGCAGCAGAGGAAGGGUAAGUGGAGGUCCGUGUCCCGGGCGAUGGUGGAGAGAGGCUUCAAGGUGUCGCCGCAGCAAUGCGAGGACAAGUUCAACGACCUCAACAAGCGCUACAAGCGAGUCGUCGAACUGCUCGGCCGCGGCACGGCGUGCAACGUGGUCGCGAACCCCGCGCUGCUCGACACCAUGGGCGAGCUCACGGCCAAGGCCAAGGAGGAGGCGCGCAAGCUGCUCAGGUCCAAGCGCCUCUUCUUCCGCGAGAUGUGCCACUACCACAACCCCGGCGGCACCGCAACAGCCUCGCACGGCACCGAAGGCGGCGCCGACUGCUUCGACAACCCGCGGCCGGCAACGGCGCCCGCCGGCCGCCAGGUGGUGAAUUCCUCCACGCGCUCGGAGGACGACAGCGAGGACGACGUCCUCAGUAGCAAAGAGGUUGAAGAGGAGGAGGAGGACGACGACGACUACGACCUGGACGACGUGGAGGAGAAGGCGCCGGGCACCAAGCGCCGCGACGACCGCGUCGACGACAGCAAUGGCUUCCACAACUACGGCGGGCACAAGAACAAGCUCCGUCGUGGCGAGAGCAGCGCGGCCGCGGCCGGGGAAGACAAGGAAGAGAACGGGAACAACAAGCCCGCCCGCAGCACAAUGCAGCAGCUGAAGCGCGAGCUGGCCGCGGUGGAGGCCGGCGGCGACCAGCAGCAGCUGCGGCAGUGGGUGCAACGACGCGCGCUGGAGCUGGAGAAGCAGGAGCUGGCGUACGAGGUCCAGGACUUCGCGCUGGGGAAGCGCCGCUACAAGUGGGAGCAGUUCAAGGCCACCAAGGACUGGGACAUGGAGCAUGAGCGGCUGCGGAUCGAGUGCCUGCGCGUCGACGGCCGGCGCAUGCUGCUCAUGCUCAAGCAGAAGGAGCUCGACCUGGACGACCUCCCGGGCGCCCAGACCCCGCCGCCCGGCGCUGCCUUCCAGCAGCAGCCCGGCUCCAGCCCCUCCACCACAGGGCACCCCAACUAG